UAGUACGCAAGGAAUGGUCUCAGCGAUGCUCGACUAUAUCGGCCCCAUCGACGUAAUCAACUUCUGGCUGCUGCAAAGAAGGAAAACAAAAGGUUUAGGGAUUAACAAGGUGCCACGAAAGUGGCGUGCCUUUUCAUAUUCAUGUGCCAUGUGGGUGCACAGCCCCUGGUAUAUUAUGGAAUUAACACUAGGGCUCAUCAUACUAAUAGUGUUAACAUAUGGAUUAAAAGCCCCGACUUUAAGAUUAGCUAUGCUACUUGCGGGGGCUGUGGGGGUUGCUGGGUUAUUAACUGAGCCCCAUCUACUAUGUUGGACACAGGCUAUUAAAAUGUUGGUGAUGCUAAGUGGAUUAGCUAUACUAUGUAUGCUGGACCAUCGAACAUCGCAUCGAUCAAGCUCUUUAUUGAUUUUAUUAGUGAUCUUGGGUAAUUUAUUACUUAUUGGGUCAACAAAUUUAAUUUCUAUAUAUUUAGCAUUAGAAAUGCAAACAUUAUGUAUGUUUAUCUUAGUGGCUUAUAAUAAAAACUCAUUGUUAUCGGCAGAAGCUGGACUUAAAUACUUUGUGUUAGGGGCACUAUCUUCGGGGUUAUUUCUGUUUGGCUGUGCUUUAAUUUAUGGCUCCACAGGAGAACUUGAACUUCAAUUUAUUCGUAUGAGUUUAGAGUCUUACGGCAUAGUAGCUGGUAAGUGUCUUAUUACUAUUU
RNAcentral lists this ribosomal RNA (704 nucleotides) under Anthelia rosea. RNAcentral's name for it is "partial 16S ribosomal RNA". The record is from RNAcentral. RNAcentral also lists the same sequence under 2 other names. Lineage: Eukaryota; Metazoa; Cnidaria; Anthozoa; Malacalcyonacea; Xeniidae.